RNAcentral lists this unclassified non-coding RNA (17 nucleotides) under Mus musculus (house mouse). RNAcentral's name for it is "oocyte_clustered_small_RNA13749". Lineage: Eukaryota; Metazoa; Chordata; Mammalia; Rodentia; Muridae. The record is from RNAcentral.
UUAUUGGAGAGCCCAAG